UACUGUAGUCCGGUGCUGUCAGUUGAGGUAACUUGUUUUGAACCUGGAAUAUUUCUAUGUCUUUCAAAAAUUACACACGUGGUCAACAACUUGACAAGGACACCCCAUGUAACAUUGUUUUCUGUUAGCCUGUUCUUCCAGCCAUUCUCCCCGAGACCUUCAAAGGUGCGCUCAUACAGCAAAAAAUGUUAAAAACUUCUCACCCAGUUUCGUGUCCUCCGAUGUUUGAAGAUCGUCUCCAGAUUCCAAGAUAUUCGUCUUAUGUUGCAAACAAUCUACAAAGCACGUGGGACUGUGAAAAUGAUAUUUCCAGUGUUGUUAAUGGGCUUUUUUAGUUGUUGCUGUGUUUGGAGCAAUUCCUUUUGAAAAAUACAUCAACUCCAACAUUGACGGUCUGCUCUGCAAGGAUGAUUUCAAAGAUUUACCCAGUGCAUUCAUCACACUCUUCAGUAUUUUUACCUUGGAGCACUGGUUUGAUUUACUUUAAGACAUUCAGAGAGUUCCAGAGCUAAACUGGAUUAUUCAUUAUGGUGUGGUUUGCAUUUGGAGCCUUGAUGACCUGUAUUUUUAUGGCCCUUAUAAUUGAUGACUUUCAGGAAAUGCGUUCCAAUCUUUCCAAAGAGGUGCCAGCAAUUGAAAACCCUAUGCAGAGCAGAGAUUUUCAAAGCAAGUAAUAUGGAGUAGGGCAAUAAGCCAGACAAACCAACUGAAGGACCACAAACCUGUCAAAGAUGAGGAAGAACAUGAAAGUCCAAAUUUUCGUUUGGAAACAUGAAACCAUACCUCGAAACAUGAGCUAGAGUGGGACAUGGGUCUGGAUGCGUUUAUUCAGGCGGAUGAGUUUCAGGAUGACUGUGAGACAGAGUGCUGGCGUGAGGACAAUCUCUGCAGGUACUUUGAGCUGAUGGAAAAGCUCCAGUGCAACCUAGAGGAGAUGAACCAGCUUCAGGAUAUAUUAGGUGGGAAUGAACGCCAAGCGUUUUCAUGAUCAGUGAUUGCAACUGCAACAUUACAUUUGAUCCAGUCUGGAUAGAGUAUUUUCAUUCAAACAUACAAUGCUGCAGUGCAAAAUAUUUUCCUCUUUAAUGGAAUUUUACCUAAUCAUAAUUUAAUUCAUUAUAAAAAAAAAAAACACCAAUUACUUUUUAUCUGUUGUGACACAGUUCAGGGUUUCCUUAACCUGCACGACUGCUCAGAAAAAUAAUAAGAAUGCAUCAGCAAACCUGCUCUAUGAAUUCUGUUCUUCGUCACGAACACUGGAUUGGUUAGACAAUGAAAGAUGUGUU
Long non-coding RNA from Sinocyclocheilus rhinocerous, 1286 nucleotides. RefSeq lists it as uncharacterized. The transcript is spliced from 5 exons. The record is from RefSeq and is a predicted model, not a curated record. NCBI's taxonomy places the organism in Eukaryota, Metazoa, Chordata, Actinopteri, Cypriniformes, Cyprinidae.